AGUAAAGGAAGAAUAGUAUGCCAGAAUCACUAAAUUAAAAAAGGUGGUGGAUCAGCUUUUCUGCAAAAAAUUUUGUAACUCCAGUUGGACUCCAUUGUUUCCAAGUCGACUUUCGUCCUCAUCCACAGCUCCUCCACACAAGCCCUGAACACCUGUUCAUUUGAAGCUCUUGGACUCACUGAGGCAGUAAAAGUACCAUCUCCUGUGUUUGAAUCAAACCCCGAGUGCCUGUAUGUAGAAGGCUUGCAGACAGGACUUCCUUUCAAAGCCCUCCUGGUUUGGAAUUCCAUGACUUGAAAGGAUCGUCCAUGGGGGUAAUAAAAUCAAGUUUGUUGUUAAAAAAGUAAGUUCC
RNAcentral lists this long non-coding RNA (352 nucleotides) under Piliocolobus tephrosceles (Ugandan red Colobus). RNAcentral describes it as "lncRNA (ENSPTEG00000009751.1)". Lineage: Eukaryota; Metazoa; Chordata; Mammalia; Primates; Cercopithecidae. The record is from RNAcentral.